RNAcentral lists this small RNA (946 nucleotides) under [Mycoplasma] mobile. Its description in RNAcentral is "bacterial LSU rRNA". The stretch from base 446 to 946 matches the Rfam family "Bacterial large subunit ribosomal RNA", at positions 1 to 497 of the family's 2925-position model. The record is from RNAcentral. Lineage: Bacteria; Bacillati; Mycoplasmatota; Mycoplasmoidales; Metamycoplasmataceae.
CGCCCGUCACACCAUGGGAGCUAGUAAUGCCCGAAGCCGGAUAGUUAACUUCGGAGGCUACUGUCUAAGGCAGGACUGGUAACUGGGGUGAAGUCGUAACAAGGUAUCCCUACGAGAACGUGGGGAUGGAUCACCUCCUUUCUACGGAGUGCAUAGAUCUAUCUUUAUUGAUAGAAAUGACAAAAUAUUUUUCACAAUAUUUAAAAUACAAAAGAUUUAUAUCCAGUUUUGAGAGAUCAAGAAAAAAAUAAUCUCUCAGAUUAGUUCUUUGAAAACUGAAUAGCAAUUAAAAUUUGAAUUAUCAAUAUUCAAGAAGUUUACAUAACGUCCAUUUUAAAUAGGUUUAAAAUGGAAUAAAAGUAACUGAUCCAAUUAAAAAUAAGAUACCUUAGAAAUACAAAUUAAGAAGAACAAUUAGGUCUCAAAAAAACAUAAAACAAGAAGUUAUUAAAUAAGUAAGAGUUUGUGGUGGAUGCCUUGGGUCUGGAAGACGAAGAAGGACGUGAUUACCUGCGAUAAGCCUCGAGGAGCUGGAUAUAAGCUAUGAAUCGGGGAUGUCCGAAUGGGGAAACCCAACUAGAGUAAUGUCUAGUUACUAUAUUCUGAAUACAUAGGAAUAUUAGAGUUAUACGUUGCGAAGUGAAACAUCUUAGUAGCAAUAGGAAAAGAAAAUAAAUUAAAAUGAUUCCGUAAGUAGCGGCGAGCGAACGCGGAAGAGCCCAAACCAACAUUUGUUGGGGUUGUAGGACAAUCUACAUUUAGUUACAAAAUUUAUAUAUAGCAGAAUGACUUGGGAAGGUCAAGCAUAGAAGGUUAUACUCCCGUAUGCGAAAUAUAUAAAACUAAUGAUUGUAUCCUGAGUAGGGCGGGGCACGAGAAACCCUGUCUGAAUCUGCCGGGACCACCCGGUAAGGCUAAAUACUAACCAGACACCGAUAGUGAACAA